CAAUAAGCGGAGGAAAAGAAACCAACAGGGAUUGCCUCAGUAACGGCGAGUGAAGCGGCAAAAGCUCAAAUUUGAAAUCUGGCGCCUGCAAGUGUCCGAGUUGUACUUUGGAGAGGCAUCUUCGUGAGGGGUCCAGCCUAUGUUCCUUGGAACAGGGCGUCACAGAGGGUGAGAAUCCCGUUCGUGGCUGGAUACUCCUUGCAGUAUGUAGUGUCUUCAAUGAGUCGAGUUGUUUGGGAAUGCAGCUCAAAAUGGGUGGUAAAUUUCAUCUAAAGCUAAAUAUUGGCGAGAGACCGAUAGCGCACAAGUAGAGUGAUCGAAAGAUGAAAAGCACUUUGAAAAUAGAGUCAAACAGUACGUGAAAUUGUUGAAAGGGAAGCGCUUGAGAUCAGAGUCAGCCUUUGACAAACAACAUUCCUUAUGGAUAGUGCACUUGUUAUUGGCUGGGCCAGCAUCAGUUGGGACGGUAGGAUAAAGGCCUUGGGAAUGUGACUCCCUUCCGGAGUGUUAUAGCCCUUGGUGCCAUACUGCCUGCCCUGACUGUGGACCGCGCUUCGGCUUGGAUGCUGGCUUAAUGGUCUUCAGCGGCCCGUCUUGAAACACGGACCAAGGAGUCUAACGUCUAUGCAAGUGUUUGGGCUCAAAACCCUCACGCGUAAUGAAAGUGAACGGAGGUGGGAACCCUGCAAGGGGUGCACCAUCGACCGAUCCUGAUGUCUUCGGAUGGAUUUGAGUAGGAGCAUAGCUGUUGGGACCCGAAAGAUGGUGAACUAUGCCUGAAUAGGGUGAAGCCAGAGGAAACUCUGGUGGAGGCUCGCAGCGGUUCUGACGUGCAAAUCGAUCGUCAAAUUUGGGUAUAGGGGCGAAAGACUAAUCGAACCAUCUA
RNAcentral lists this ribosomal RNA (886 nucleotides) under Tuber gibbosum. RNAcentral describes it as "eukaryotic LSU rRNA". It matches the Rfam family "Eukaryotic large subunit ribosomal RNA", at positions 44 to 946 of the family's 3401-position model. The record is from RNAcentral. Lineage: Eukaryota; Fungi; Ascomycota; Pezizomycetes; Pezizales; Tuberaceae.